AGGAACUUAGGAUAGACCAAGACCGAAAGCCUUCAAAGCUUUAAGCAGGAGUGCAAACCUUCUAGUUCUUG
Non-coding RNA from Lepisosteus oculatus (spotted gar), 71 nucleotides. The record is from Ensembl. Lineage: Eukaryota; Metazoa; Chordata; Actinopteri; Semionotiformes; Lepisosteidae.